Molecule: ribosomal RNA, 253 nt
Filed under: uncultured bacterium
Lineage: Bacteria
Description: partial 16S ribosomal RNA
Rfam family: Bacterial small subunit ribosomal RNA
Source: RNAcentral
UACGGAGGGUGCAAGCGUUAUCCGGAUUCACUGGGUUUAAAGGGUGCGUAGGUGGGCAGUUAAGUCAGUGGUGAAAUCUCCGAGCUUAACUCGGAAACUGCCAUUGAUACUAUCUGUCUUGAAUAUCGUGGAGGUAAGCGGAAUAUGUCAUGUAGCGGUGAAAUGCUUAGAUAUGACAUAGAACACCAAUUGCGAAGGCAGCUUACUACCCGAAUAUUGACACUGAGGCACGAAAGCGUGGGGAUCAAACAGG